This 460-nucleotide ribosomal RNA is filed under the name uncultured bacterium. RNAcentral describes it as "partial 16S ribosomal RNA". It matches the Rfam family "Bacterial small subunit ribosomal RNA", at positions 338 to 795 of the family's 1533-position model. The record is from RNAcentral.
CCUACGUGAGGCUGCAGUGAGGAAUAUUGGUCAAUGGACGCAAGUCUGAACCAGCCAUGCCGCGUGCAGGAAGCCGGCUCUAUGAGUUGUAAACUGCUUUUGUACGAGGGUAAACGCAGCUCCGCGUAUCUGUCUGAAAGUAUCGUACGAAUAAGGAUCGGCUAACUCCGUGCCAGCAGCCGCGGUAAUACGGAGGAUUCAAGCGUUAUCCGGAUUUAUUGGGUUUAAAGGGUGCGUAGGCGGUCGGAUAAGUUAGAGGUGAAAUCCCGAGGCUCAACUUCGGAAUUGCCUCUGAUACUGUUCGGCUAGAGAGUAGUUGCGGUAGGCGGAAUGUAUGGUGUAGCGGUGAAAUGCUUAGAGAUCAUACAGAACAACGAUUGCGAAGGCAGCUUACCAAGCUACUUCUGACGUUGAGGCACGAAAGCGUGGGGAGCAAACAGGAUUAGAUACCCUGGUAGUC